Molecule: non-coding RNA, 71 nt
Organism: Podarcis lilfordi (Lilford's wall lizard)
Lineage: Eukaryota; Metazoa; Chordata; Lepidosauria; Squamata; Lacertidae
Source: the annotation of a GenBank genome assembly
GGCCAUCGCUCAACUGCAGAGCAUCUGCUUUGCACGCAGUAGGUCCUGGGUUCGAAUCCCCAACAGCACCU